RNAcentral lists this ribosomal RNA (333 nucleotides) under Triticum aestivum (bread wheat). RNAcentral's name for it is "partial small subunit ribosomal RNA". Lineage: Eukaryota; Viridiplantae; Streptophyta; Magnoliopsida; Poales; Poaceae. The record is from RNAcentral.
AUGACGAGCCCGGAGCUGGACGAGGGCGCGGUGGAGAGGCAGCCGGCGGCGGCGUCGCGCGGUGGCGGGGUAGCCGUGCAGGCGAGGGACGGGGUGUUCACGUGGGACGACGAGGAGACGGAGGCUGGGAUGGAGGUGCUUCGAGGCAUCGACCUGGAGAUCCGCAGCGGCAAGCUGGCCGCGGUGGUCGGCAUGGUCGGGUCCGGCAAGUCGUCGCUGCUCGGCUGCAUCCUCGAUGGGAUGCGCAAGGUCUCCGGUAAGGCUACAGAAAGGUUGGAAGUAGCCUACCCAACAAUAAAGGAGCUGGCUCUUGUUGGUGCUCUAAGGCUGUGA